Vombatus ursinus (common wombat) is the source of this 370-nucleotide long non-coding RNA. RefSeq lists it as uncharacterized. The transcript is spliced from 2 exons. The record is from RefSeq and is a predicted model, not a curated record. NCBI's taxonomy places the organism in Eukaryota, Metazoa, Chordata, Mammalia, Diprotodontia, Vombatidae.
GGGACGCGGCGGAGCGGGACUUCGGGCUGGGACCUGCAAGCAAAAGAAUCGGCUGCACUGCAGACUUCCUCCACCAUGCCCCAGCUCAUCACCCUGAAGUCUUGCUGCAGCCCUGUAUUUCACGCAGUGGAAGUACCCUCUGCCCCUGCAACUGCUGCUUCUGAUUGCAUGGUUCCUCCCAGGACCUCCAUUUAAGAAGGGCCUCCCGGCCAGCCAUACCUCAUUCUGCUACAGGCUGGACUCUGGAUUGUAUCAUUCCCCUGUGACUGCCUUUGUCUGUCCCUCCUUCCCCAAAUUCCCCAUCCCCCCACUUUUCAGCAGUCAGUGCUUGGCAUGUAACAAGGGUUUAAUAAAUACUUCUUAUCAUUGA